RNAcentral lists this long non-coding RNA (549 nucleotides) under Malus domestica (apple). RNAcentral's name for it is "long non-coding RNA (MDOM_LNC009825)". Lineage: Eukaryota; Viridiplantae; Streptophyta; Magnoliopsida; Rosales; Rosaceae. The record is from RNAcentral.
AAACAACUACUUGUACCACUACCUUAACGUUAAGCCACCAUUUGUGAUAUGUAUCACUUUCAUUAAUAUGUAAACCACCUAAACACAUGACGUAAUUUAUUUGUUGAAUAUAGUCUUACUCUCAGGUCAAUAUUCAACAGUAACUUUCAAAAAAUCAUGUGUACUAAAAAAAUCUCUUUUUAAUUGUAUAUAAUGUGAACAAUAGUAAUGUUGAAACCAAUUUUUCCCAUAAAUACCCAUAAUGGGUGAACUUAAAAUCAUGUAGGACAUUUUGAUGAUUUUUAGGUGCUUCAAAGUGUGUCUAAAUUCUACUAGUGUUUUCAGAAAUGAGUAUGAAGAGUGGACCAACAUAAAAUGGAAAUUUGGUGUAAAGAUCAUUGGAUGGGUCCAUCACAUAUGUGCUGACGCUUAAUAGGACACCACAUAUACUUUGAUUUUUUUAACCAGAAAACCUUGAUUUUAGUCAUCAUGAUCCUGCCAAGUGCCAAGUGAUUUCAAAUGAAAAAUGAUCUUCUCCGUAUCUUUUUUUCUAAUCCAUCAAAUUCGAAG